CAAACAUUCUUCAUUAUUAAAUUAUUAAAAUUAGAAGUGUGAUUUAUGACUAUGUUUAUCCUCACAAACUAUUUGGAGACUUGAAGCCCUAAGUUUCACGAUAAGGUCUCCCUGCACUCUCUUGGUUUCCAACAGCUAAAUGAAAUUAAUUUUGUAAUGACCCAAGACCUCAUUCGAAAAGGCUAGUUGAAAUAUAUUAUUUAGAUUCUUUAGCCCUAUAUAAAUAUUCAAAAUCUUUCUAGUGAAUAAUUGAUAAUGAACAAAUACAUGCCUGCAC
This 277-nucleotide long non-coding RNA is filed under the name Elaeis guineensis (African oil palm). RNAcentral's name for it is "long non-coding RNA (EGUI_LNC014455)". The record is from RNAcentral. Lineage: Eukaryota; Viridiplantae; Streptophyta; Magnoliopsida; Arecales; Arecaceae.